This 265-nucleotide ribosomal RNA is filed under the name uncultured Staphylococcus sp. RNAcentral describes it as "partial 16S ribosomal RNA". It matches the Rfam family "Bacterial small subunit ribosomal RNA", at positions 96 to 355 of the family's 1533-position model. Lineage: Bacteria; Bacillati; Bacillota; Bacilli; Caryophanales; Staphylococcaceae. The record is from RNAcentral.
CGGCGGACGGGUGAGUAACACGUGGGUAACCUACCUAUAAGACUGGGAUAACUUCGGGAAACCGGAGCUAAUACCGGAUAAUAUUCGAACCGCAUGGUUCGAUAGUGAAAGAUGGUUUUGCUAUCACUUAUAGAUGGACCCGCGCCGUAUUAGCUAGUUGGUAAGGUAACGGCUUACCAAGGCGACGAUACGUAGCCGACCUGAGAGGGUGAUCGGCCACACUGGAACUGAGACACGGUCCAGACUCCUACGGGAGGCAGCAGCC